GGGCGGGACCUCCGGGUUCCCGCGCGCAGGCCGCAGCGGCCCCUGGUCUCCUUCUGGGCCCCACGCCAUUUCCGCUACUCUAGGCCGAGCGGGACCCACAGGUCUCGUCCUGCCCCUGGGCCGCGCGGAGCUGACCGCCUGGCGGGAUGUGGCCGUCCCCGGGGACGUGCUGGCUGCUCUUCUGGCUGCCGCCGCUGGCCGUGCUGCCGGCGGACGCGGUGCGCGGCGAGGAGGACGAGGCGGCGUUGUCAGUUGCAAGAUGUAAAGCUUUGAAGGAAAUGGAUUUAAUUAAAACGUCUCAGUCAGACUGUUACUGCUACAAUCAAAAAUCCCAAGUGAAAUGGAAGUAUAUAUGGUCAACUGUGCAGGUGAAAAUUACCAGUUCAGGCCUGCUCAGUAUUGUAUAUAUCACAGAAAGAUAUAAUUGCCAGUAUCCAGAAACCAUUCUGUCUAUUAUCAAAUGUGUGAUUCAUAACCUUUGGACACCAAAGGAGUCUAAUGAUAUAACCAUAACCAUCAAUCCAUAUCGGGAGACUGUGUGCUUCUCUGUGAAGCCUGCCAGGAAGAUAUUUAUCUAUACCGUAAGAGUGAAUCGAAACAUUGUGGAUUUUAAACUCUUCCUUGUGUUUGUGGCGGGCAUUUUCCUCUUCUUUUAUGCAAAGACCUUGAGUCACCUGAAGAGUAAAGCUUGGACUCAGAGGAGAUGGGCUGCAGGCCUGAAUCCUCCAACUGGCAGGAGCCCUGUUUUCUUUUACUCUUCAGGGACUGUGCUAGGUAUUCUAAUGACAUUAGUCUUUGUCCUGUUGCUGGUGAAAAAGUUCAUUCCUAAGUAUAGCACGUUUUGGGCUCUAAUGGUUGGUUGUUGGUUUGCUUCAGUUUAUAUUGUGUGGCAACUGAUGGAAGAGCUGAAGUGGCUGUGGUGUGAAAACAGAAUAUAUAUAUUAGGCUACGUCUUGAUAGUUGGGUGUCUUAGCUUUACUGUUUGUUACAAGCACGGGCCCCUCGUGGAGGAGAGGAGCGUGACCCUCUUGGCGUGGGCACUGCAGCUCGUCUCCCUGCUCCUGGUCUAUGCUGGCAUGGCCAUUCCUCAGUUCGCCUAUGCAGUGAUGCUCCUCACCCUGUCGUCCAAGAUCCUGCACUACCCACUGAGAGCACUCGCUUACGUGAGAUGGAAAAUGAAGAAAUGGUUUACAUCAGAAAAGCCGGUGGUUAAGUUUCUUACUGAAGACGAGUACAGGGAACAAGCCGAUGCUGCGACGACCCGCGCCCUGGAGGACCUGCGCCAGGCCUGCCGCAGCCCCGGCUUCCCAUCCUGGCUGGCCGUCUCCAGGCUCCGGGCGCCUAAAACGUUUGCAGACUUUGUUCUUGGAGGAAGCCACUUGUCGCCUGAAGAAAUUAGGCUGCAUGAAGAACAAUAUGGCCUUGCGGGUGCCUUCUUGGAGGAGCAGCUCUUUAACCUGAGGACUCCUGACAGUCUGCCUGCACACUGACUUCAUUCUGGACAAGGAAGUGGGGAAGGGCAGGGAUCCUAUUAAAGGUGGGCAGAACUGUACCGGGGAACAGUGGCAAAAGCAUUCACUAUGGAGAAAAAUCAAGUCACGCUGGAAAGGAAAACUAAACUGUAUUGAAGAUAACUGAUCCUUCCUGGACAGUUCUGUGUAUUGUACUGUAGGUGGCCACCAAGAUUCUGCGACAGUCAUUACCACUGUCCUUGAAUGAAGACUCUCAUUAGGAACAAAGGGAUCAUGUUGAUCUUCAGGGGGCCAGUUAAUUUGAAUAGGUGCCUUGUCAACUGCAGGGCAUUAAAUCCUCUCUUAAUCCCCAGAACCUGUGUCAAAAGACUCUGCAUUGCUCUUCCUGCGUGUUAUCAAUGUAAGUGCUGGAAGAGACCUGAGAUACACUGGACCAGUAUUUUCCAAAGUGUAGUCCACAGGAUGCUAAUAAGUGUUAGUAGGUGAAGGAAUCCUGAGGUCAACUAAGAUGGAUGCAUGAUUAAACGUACUGCAGGACUUCUCAGAGCCUUUAAUAAUGCUAAUGCACACUGUGAACUUCCUAAAGAGGAGAAAUUGUGUGCAGCAUUCUCCAGCUUAAUUUGACAACAGAACCCUUUUUCAUGAGAUUAAUAUUUCUUGGAACACAUGUUUGGAAAAUGCUGAUGGUGGAGGAAUGGAGGUUUCAGAAGGUUAAAUAACUUGUCCAAGACCACAGGGCUUUUUAGAGGCAGCCCUGGGACUAAAACUCCAUCCCUGCUGUUUCCAGUGACUCAGGUAGAAGAAGAGACCUUUAGAAAUGAGGUGCCAUCUUGCCACAGCCUUGGGUCUCACAGUAUUGGUGUGAGGGGCCAUCUCUCCAUAGCCUUGGGUCUCACAAUAUUCAUGACUUAUUUUUUAUUUUUUAAUAAUAGCCAACUAACUGUUUGAUAACUGUGAUAAAGAGAAACAUUUCCUAUGGUUAUAUUUUAAAGUUUUGAUAAGACUUUUAUAGACAUAUAUAAAGAUUAGAAUUUAGAAUUACUUUUUACAUUUUUUUGUAUGUUGAAAUUGAAGGCAUUUAACCUCAAGUCGACUGGCCUAUUUUAUUUUAUUUUAUUUUUACUCCCUAAAUUCAGGUCUCAAUAGUGUUCACACCUGAAUUUCUACAACAAUUCUGGUUUGUUUUUUUUUUUUUGGCUGCAUUGGGUCUUUCAUUGCUACACGUGGGCUUUCUCUAGUUGCGGCAAGCAAGGGCUACUCUUCGUUGCAGUGCAUGGGCUUCUCAUUGCAGUGGCUUCUCUUGUUGCAGAGCACGGGCUCUAGGCUCGUGGGCUUCAGUAGUUGUGGCACGCAGGCUCAGUAGUUGUGGCUCGCGGGUUCUAGAGCACAGGCUCAGUAGUUGUGGCGAACGGGCUUAGUUGCUCCGCGGCAUGUGGGAUCUUCCGGGAUCAGGGCUCGAACUCAUGUCCCCUACAUUGGCAGGCGGAUUCUUAACCACUGCACCACCAGGGAAGCCCCUCGACUGGCCUAUUUUAAAAAAUUGUUUAGUUAUACGUGUUUAUAACAAUUUCCUACAAAACAGAUUUGUGAUCUUUCUUAUAGAGAACAAAUCAUUUUUCUUCUUGUGCUUCAUGAUUUUAGACUCCAGAGUGAAAUGAGGGACUAACCAUGAGCUUUGACCCUGAGGAAAAGAGGCCAAAACAUAGGUCUGGGAAAAGAUCUGAACAUGGCAAAACAAUCCAAGGGUUAAGAUGUUGCUAACUUCUCUUUAAGAAUCAAACGCAGGCUCUUUUGCUGUGGUGGGGCCAUAAAGAGUAGCAGCAUAAAGAAUGAGGAAUCUCCCUUUUCUAGAAGGGUUAUGGAGGAGGGACACACAGAUCAUUUGGGCACUGCUUUCUGGAACCAAAUUUAGUAUAGCGUUUUUCUAAAUUGUUCAAUAAGAGUGUGGCUGCCUGUUUGGAAUUCUUUAGAUUGAUUUCCAAAUGAUAUUUCCUCUUUGAAGCAGUGUGUCAGUGUUUUACGGGUCUCUAUUUUUGCCAGACACCUUUUAAUAUCAGGAGCUUUGCUAUUUUUGUGAUAUACACUAAAUUUAAUCUGUGCUUUCACAUAGACUUUGAUAUAAAAAAUCAAAGUAUCUUCCAUUCAGAUUUAUGAAGAUCAUGACUUUUAUAAGUGUAAACAGUUGUAAUAGCGUUUUUGUUACAGUUUAAUCUGAUUUUUAUUGUUUUGUAAUUCUGUUUAUUGGUGCUAUAUUAUAAACGUAUCACAUGUGUUUGUGGUUGUGCUCACCAAGAGACGGUGUGUGUCCUACAUAAUGUGUGUGUGCAUAAAGUGUGCAGUCUGCUGGAGUUCCCAGGGGACAUCCCAGCCAAGACAGCCACUGGGCCUCACCUGCGCCAGGGUGAACAGGUGCCGACAGUAGAAGAAAGCAGCUCCUGGUGGGCCAACAAGCUAGGUGUAGCUAUUUUUAUUGUGAUCUUUAUUGCAAUAAAAAUAGCUAAAGGAAGAGAAAAAGAGCAACAAGAGGCUUUGGGGAUACUGUUUUUCAUUUUUACUUUUAGAGGAAACCAUGGAUUUGUCAGUUUCUACUAUGUGAGUACUGUGAGAAGCUAGAUAAUUAAAAGCACUGCUUGCGAUAUAUUGGGCGUAUUUCUGUUGUGUUUAUUUGAAUUGGGGUUUGUUAUAGUGCUGAUCAUAGAUCUAGUCCCCAUCAAGCAGUAUGUUUGUCAGCUCCUCUAAGAGAUCUUUUUUCUCUCCUUCCCUUCUUCCCUUCUCCUGUCUGUCUAUCCGUCUGUCUCUCUCUCCCCACCACCCUACUCCCUCUCUCCUCUUUUUCUUCAUUUAUUUAAAGGCCUUUAAACAAUUUAAAUGACCAUUCAGUAAAAUGGUUAUGCCCUUCACAGGUUGUUGACAGUUGGUUCUGUGCCUCAUGCCACCCUAGGUGUGCAGUUGUGGAGCACAACAGAACCUUUGUUGUGUUAGUGCGCCCACGAGGUGCCUCACAGAAGCUCACUGUUAGCAAGUUGGACUCUUUGACCCCAAAACAUAUGAGUGAGAUGUAGUGUAGGUCGCCAUGCUUAAACAGUCAUAUUCAAUGUUAUUUUUUAAAGGUUUUUAAAAAAUAUUUAUUAUUUUUGGCCACGUCGGGUCUUACUUGUGGCACGCGGGAUCUUUCAUUGCAGCGCACCGGCUUCUCUCUAGUUGUGGCGUGCAGGCUUAGUUGCCCCGUAUCAUGUGGGAUCUUAGUUCCACAACCAGGGAUCGAACCCACGUCCCCUGCGUUGGAAGGCAGAUUCUUAACCAGUGGACCACCAGGGAAGUCCCUAUUUUUUGAAGGUUUUAAAACACAUUUUACAUAUCACAAAAAAUGUUUUGUCAAUUAGUUGUAUAGUUUGCCAAUAAUACUUAGAGCUGAAUUACAGGGGAGUGUCCAUCUGACAUUUAGGACAAUACUUGAAUUUAUGACUUUUUAAAUCUAGAAAUUUAUGAGAUUUUAGAUAUUAAGAGAUUUGGAAUAGCUGACAUCGAAACAUGUGGAAGAAUUAAGACCUCCAGAAUGAUGUCAAGAAAAGAAAAAGGAUCUUAUAUUAUUCUGUAUGUGAUUAUUCCCCAGAGUUAGAGAAGUACAAUAUUUUAAUCACCUUUUUCUUUUGUCCGACUGAAAGAAGGAUCCUAUGCAUAGAUAGCAUAAUAGAUGUGGAAUUCUGAAGAUCCCCCACAGUGAGACAGGUAUUUUUAUCUGACCUGGGAGCCAGCUGUUUUCUGUAUAUUUUGGAUAUUAACCCCUUGUUGGUCGCAUCAUUUGCAAAUAUUUUCUCCCAUUCCAUUUUUUUUUCCCCCAUAGGUUGUCUUUUCCUUUUGUUGAUGGUUUCUUUGCUGUGCAAAACCUUUUAAGUUUGAUCAGGUCCCGUUAGUUUACUUUUGCUUUUAUUUUUUUUGCCUUGGGAGACUGAUCCAAGAAAAUAUUACUAUGAUUUAUGACAAAGUGUUUCACCUGUGUUCUUGGAGUUUUAUGAUUUCAUGUCUUACAUUUAGGUGUUUUAGCCAUUUUGAGUUUAUUUUUGUAUAUGGUGUGUGGCAGUGUUCUAAUAUAAUUGUUUUGCAUGUGGCUGUCCAGCUUUCCCAGCACUAUUUGUUGGAGAGACUGUCUUUUCUCCACUGUAUAUUCUUGCCUCCUUUGUCACAGAUUAAUUGACCAUAGGUGUGUGGGUUUAUUUCUGGGUUCUUUACUCUGUUCUGUUGAUCUACGUGUUUGUUUUUGUGCCAAUACCAUGCUGUUUUGAUUACUGUAGCUUUGUAGUGUAGUCUGAAGUCUGGGAGGGUUACACCUCCAGCAUUGUUCUUAGUUCUCAGGAUUGCUUUGGCAAUUUGGGGUCUUUUGUGGUUCCAUAUAAAUUUUUGGAUUAUUUGUUCUAGUUCUGUGGAAAAUGUCCUGGUGUUUUGAUAGGGAUUGCAUUAAGUCAGUAGAUUGCUUUGGGUAGUAUGGCCAUUUUAAUAAUAAUGAUUCUUCCAAUCUAAAAGCAUGCGAUAUCUUUCCAUUUCUUUGAAUCUUCAUUUUCCUUCAUCAGUAUUUUACAGUUUUCAGCAUAUAGGUCUUUCACCUCCUUGGUUAAGUUUAUUCCUAGAUAUUUUAUUCUUUUUGAUGUGAUUUUAAAUGGGAUUGUUUUCUCACUUUCUUUUUCUGAUAUUUCAUUAUUAGUGUAUAGAAAUAUUUUGCAUUUUGUGUAUAUUCAUCUUGUAUCCUGCAACCUUGCUGAAUUCAUUUAUUAGUUUUAAUAGUUUUGGGGUGGAGACUCUAGGGUUCCCUGUAUAGAAUAUCAUGUCAUGGGCAAAUGUUACAGUUUCACCUCUUCUCUUCUAAUUUGGAUACCUUUUAUUUUUCUUGUCUGAUUGCUGUGUCUGGGACUUCCAAUACUAUGAGAGUACACAUCCUUGUCUUGUUCCUGAAUUUAGUAGGAAGCUUUCAGCUUUUCACCAUUGGGUAUUGUGUUGGCUGUGGGUUUGUAGUAAAUGGCCUUUAUUAUGUUGAGAUAUGUUCCCUUCUCUAUCCACUGAUGAGAGUUUUGGUUUUUUGGGGUUUUUUUCCCCCUCAGCAACAGAAGAUCCUUUACUGAAUCCUGAGUGUGAAAAUCUACCAUUUAGUUCUUUCUCCCUUCUCCCUGUGAGAUUCAAUAAUCCCUUGAUUUGCAUGGAACAUUGGUGUGUCUGCUUGUUCUUGCUGUUGUGUCCAUUUUGUUGUUCUGAUGAGAGUUUUAUCAUGAAUGGAUGUUGAAUUUUGUCAAAUGCUUUUUGUGCAUGUAUUGAGAUGAUCAUGUGGUUUUUGUCUUUCCUUUGUUAAUGUGGUGUAUCAUGUUGAUUGAUUUGUGUGUGUUGAACCAUCCUUGUGACCCAGGAAUAAAUUCAACUUGAUCAUGCUAUAUGAUCCUUUCAAUGCAUUCAGUUGGAUUCAGUUUGCUAAUAUUUUUUUUAACAUCUUUAUUGGAGUAUAAUUGCUUUAUAAUGGUGUGUUAGUUUCUGCCUUAUAACAAAGUGAAUCAGUUAUACAUAUACAUAUUUCCCCAUAUCUCUUCCCUCUUGCAUCUCCCUAUCCCACCACUCUAUGUGGUCACAAAGUACUGAGCUGAUCUCCCUGUGCUAUGCGGCUGCUUCCCACUAGCUAUCUGUUUUACGUUUGGUAGUGUAUAUGUGUCCAUGCCACUCUCUCACUUUGUCAUAGCUUACCCUUCCCCCUCCCCGUAUCCUCAAGUUCAUUCUCUAGUAGGUCUGCAUCUUUAUUCCUGUCUUGUCCCUAGGUUCUUCAUGACCAAUUUUUUUUUCUUUUUUUUUUAGAUUCCAUAUAUAUGUGUUAGCAUAUAGUAUUUGUUUUUCUCUUUCUGACUUACUUCACUCUGUAUGACAGUCUCUAGGUCCAUCCACCUCACUACAAAUAACUCAGUUUCGUUCCUUUUUAUGGCUGAGUAAUAUUCCUCUGUAUAUAUGUACCAUAUCUUCUUUAUCCAUUCAUCUGUCGAUGGACACUUAGGUUGCUUCCAUGUCCUGGCUAUUGUAAAUAGAGCUGCAAUGAACAUUUUGGUACAUGACUCUUUUUGAAUUAUGGUUUUCUCAGGGUAUUUGCCCAGUAGUGGGAUUGCUGGGUUGUAUGAUAGUUCUAUUUUUAGUUUUUUAAGGAACCUCCAUACUGUUCUCCGUAGUGGCUCUAUCAAUUUACAUUCCCACCAACAGUGCAAGAGGGUUCCUUUUCUCCACACCCUCUCCAGCAUGUAUUGUUUGUAGAUUUUUUGAUGAUGGCCAUUCUGACUGGUGUGAGAUGAUAUCUCAUUGUAGUUUUGAUUUGCAUUUCUCUAAUGAUUAAUGAUGUUGAACAUUCUUUCAUGUGUUUGUUGGCAAUCUGUGCAUCUUCUUUGGAGAAAUGUCUAUUUAGGUCUUCUGCCCUUUUUGGAUUGGGUUGUUUGUUUUUUUGAUAUUGAGCUGCAUGAGCUGCUUGUAAAUUUUGGAGAUUAAUCCUUUGUCAGUUGCUUCAUUUGCAAAUAUUUUCUCCAUAUCUGAGGGUUGUCUUUUGGUCUUGUUUAUGGUUUCCUUUGCUGUGCAAAAGCUUUGAAGUUUCAUUAGGUCCCAUUUGUUUAUUUUUGUUUUUAUUUCCAUUUCUCUAGGAGGUGGGUCAGAAAGGAUCUUGCUGUGAUUUAUAUCAUAGAGUGUUCUACCUAUGUUUUCCUCUAAGAGUUUGAUAGUGUCUGCCCUUAUAUUUAGGUCUUUAAUCCAUUUUGAGUUUAUCUUUGUGUAUGGUGUUAGGGAGUGUUCUAAUUUCAUUCUUUUCCAUGUAGCUGUCCAGUUUUCCCAGCACCACUUAUUGAAGAGGCUGUCUUUUCUUCACGGUAUAUUCUUGCCUCCUUUAUCAAAGAUAAGGUGACCGACCAUAUGUGUGUGGGUUUAUCUCUGGGCUUUCCAUCCUGUUCCACUGAAGUUUGCUAAUAUUCUGCUGAGGAUUUUUGCAUCUGUAUUCAUCAGAGAUAUUGGCUUCUGAUUUUCUUUUUUUGUAGUGUCUUUGUCUGGUUUUGGUGUCAGGGUAAUGGUGGCCUUGUAGAAUGAAUUUGGGAGUGUUCCUUUCUCUUCAGUUUUUUUGGAAUAGUUUGAGAAGGAUAGGUAUAAAUUCUUCUUUAUAUGCUUGGUAGAAUUCCCCAGUGAAGCCGUCUGGUCCUGGACUUUUAUUUGCAGGGAGUUUUUAUCAUUACAGAUUCUAUUUCACUUCUAGUGAUUGGUCUGUUCAAAUUGUUUCUUUCUUUGUGACUCAGUCUUGGCAGGCUGAAUAUUUCUAGAAAUUUGUCCAUUUCUUCUGGGUUGUCCAAUUUGUUGCCAUAUAACAUUACUUGUCAUUUUUCCCCCUUCUCUUCAACUUAUGCUUUGAUUAAUUUUGUCCCUUAACUAAUUCAUAUUUCCAACCACUUAAUGUUUACAAUGCACGUUGGAACUGAAUGUCUUACUAGACAGCUUAUUAGGUAUAGGUAAACGUUUAACAUAGCACUGUAGUUUGGGAGCAUGCAAUAUGGUUAUAGAUUAAUGUUAACAAAGUACUAAGAGCUAGGGCCUGGAUGGGAAAUAAGACAACACUCCCCUUGCCAUGGGCUAUUUGUCACACAAAAAUAAUGGCAACAUUUAUCGAGUGUUUACUGUGUGUCAGGUAUGUCAUUUAACCAUCAAAAGAACCUGUAAGGCAGGUACUGUAAUCAUCUUAAUUUUACAGAGGAGGGCCGUGAGACCCAGAGAGGUUACUUAACGUGAGUUCUCACUGGCAGAACUAAGACUCAAAUCCAGACAGUGGGGCUCCAGAGCCGGCAAUCCUAACCCCAGCACUGUAAGGUCCUUGGGUUGCCAUCUAAAAACUGGGACCUGCCUGGAGCCACAGUGGGGCACGUGGUCCUGUAUUAGCCGUCCGAAGCAGAUGGGAGUUGAGUGAGAGUAAGGUGCUCACCUGGACUGGCUCAUUUCUUCCCCAUUCUGGACAUCACCAAGUUUCCAGUUACUCUCUUAUCUUAAACCGCAGUUUGUCCUCUCAUAAGGUAAAUUACUUAGUGAUUUGAGAACCCACUCCCCCUUUCUCUCACCCCUUUAUUCUGUUCCCAUCCAGGCACUGACCUUUCUCCCAUCUGCCUGAUGGUUUGGAAUUUUUGAGCCAGGAAUUCUUAGAGCUUUGCUGAAAUGACACAGGAGUGGUUUGGGGCUUCAGAAUUAGCUUUGUCUUGUCCCACUGCACCCAAGGAGAGAAAAAUUUCUGAAGGGAAAAUCAUCUUUUAUUUGCCUACAGUCAGCUCUGUCACAGCAUGCCCUCAUCUUCGCAGAAUAACGUUAAUUUUAGGGUCCAGUCUUUCACAAUGAAGAUGAGAAAACUAAGACCCAGAGAUCUCCCAAAGGUAAUUUUCUUCCUCUGUUCCUGCAUUGUCUAGUAUGGUAGCCACGAGCCACAGAUGGCUGUUUAAAUUUAACAUGAGAGACUUCCCUGUUGGUGCAGUGGUUAAGAAUCCACCUGCCAAUGCAGGGGACACGGGUUCAAGCCCUUGUCCAGGAAGAUCCCACAUGCUGCAGAGCAACUAAGCCCGUGCACCAGAACUACUGAGCCUGUGCUCUAGAGCCCGCAAACCAUAACUACUGAGCCCACGAGCCACAACUACUGAGCCCGCAUGCCUAAAGCCCAUGCUCUGCAACAAGAGAAGCCACCGCAACAAGAAGCCCGUGCACUGCAACGAAAAGUAGUCCCUACUCACCACGACUAGAGAAAGCCAGCGCACAGCAACGAAGACCCAAUGCAGCCAAAAAUUAAUUAGUUAAAAAAAUAAAUAACAGAAAUCUAACUCCUCAGAUGCACUAGCCACACUGUAAGCACUUAAUAGCCACCUGUGGCUAAUGGCUACCACACCUGACAGUGCUGCUUUACGAAGCUGUUGCCUCAGGUUACUGAGCGGUGGGUGUGUCUGCUGGCCCUUCCCAGCCCCCCUGGCACUGGUCUUCAGAGUCCCUGCAACCUCCAAGUUUUCUCUGCAGGGUUGCCAGACCUUCCGAGUUAUCUCCAGAGUGGCACUCAUGAUUCACAGAGCAGCAGGAGUUUGAAGGCGCUGGAUUUCUGUGUAUCUGGGAAUAGCUAGCGAUCCUAAAUGGAACUGCAACUACACAGGAUGCAGUUGUGGGCAGAAGUACUGUAUCAUGGAGAAGUCCUCACUUUAUAAUUGGUCCUGCCUAAUCAGAGUCAGAGAGUAAGGUGGAAGUCUGGGCUCAACGCGUGGCAGAACAUCUUCUGUCUGUUGCUGGACCAAGUCGAUGGUUGCUAUGGGAACAGGACUAGAAGGAACAGGAAUCCUUUCUGCCAGCAUCGUCUUGUCUGGAGAGAAAGCCAUGUUUAAAUCGUUUCUCAGAGUUUUUACAUAUUUAAACAGAUGUAUGUAUGUAUGUAUAAAUAAAUAAUAAAAACUGAACAAAUGGACAACCUCGAUAA
This is an RNA transcript of Orcinus orca (killer whale), 10953 nucleotides long. It is a transcript of the gene named nuclear envelope integral membrane protein 2, with no coding region annotated. The transcript has 12 exons. The record is from RefSeq and is a predicted model, not a curated record. Lineage: Eukaryota; Metazoa; Chordata; Mammalia; Artiodactyla; Delphinidae.